This 278-nucleotide ribosomal RNA is filed under the name uncultured eukaryote. RNAcentral describes it as "partial 18S ribosomal RNA". It matches the Rfam family "Eukaryotic small subunit ribosomal RNA", at positions 21 to 299 of the family's 1831-position model. The record is from RNAcentral.
UAGUCAUAUGCUUGUCUCAAAGAUUAAGCCAUGCAUGUCUAAGUAUAAGCACUUAUACCGUGAAACUGCGAAUGGCUCAUUAAAUCAGUUAUAGUUUAUUUGAUAGUACCUUACUACAUGGAUAACCGUGGUAAUUCUAGAGCUAAUACAUGCGAACAAUCCCGACUUUUCGGAAGGGAUGUAUUUAUUAGAUACAAAACCAAUCGGGGGCAACCCCGCUUCUUGGUGAUUCAUAAUAACUGCUCGAAUCGUAUGGCGCACGCCGACGAUGGUUCAUU